RNAcentral lists this ribosomal RNA (498 nucleotides) under uncultured bacterium. RNAcentral describes it as "partial 16S ribosomal RNA". It matches the Rfam family "Bacterial small subunit ribosomal RNA", at positions 30 to 523 of the family's 1533-position model. The record is from RNAcentral.
AUUGAACGCUGGCGGCAUGCCUUACACAUGCAAGUCGAACGGUAACGGGCCUUCGGGUGCCGACGAGUGGCGAACGGGUGAGUAAUGCAUCGGAACGUACCUUUCAGUGGGGGAUAACGUAGCGAAAGUUACGCUAAUACCGCAUAUUCUGUGCGCAGGAAAGCAGGGGAUCGCAAGACCUUGCGCUGAUUGAGCGGCCGAUGUCAGAUUAGCUAGUUGGUGAGGUAAAGGCUCACCAAGGCGACGAUCUGUAGCGGGUCUGAGAGGAUGAUCCGCCACACUGGAACUGAGACACGGUCCAGACUCCUACGGGAGGCAGCAGUGGGGAAUUUUGGACAAUGGGGGCAACCCUGAUCCAGCCAUGCCGCGUGAGUGAAGAAGGCCUUCGGGUUGUAAAGCUCUUUCGGCCGGGAAGAAAUCGCAUGGGUUAAUACCCUGUGCGGAUGACGGUACCGGCAUAAGAAGCACCGGCUAACUACGUGCCAGCCGCCGCGGUAA